Molecule: small RNA, 80 nt
Filed under: Flavobacterium omnivorum
Lineage: Bacteria; Pseudomonadati; Bacteroidota; Flavobacteriia; Flavobacteriales; Flavobacteriaceae
Description: Flavo-1 RNA
Rfam family: Flavo-1 RNA
Source: RNAcentral
AUUUAGCCCUGAUAGCAGUGAAAAUCCUUUUUCUUUUUUCUUUAAAAAGGAAAAGAUUGCAACGUAUAGCGGGAAAUAGC